Molecule: ribosomal RNA, 534 nt
Filed under: Triticum aestivum (bread wheat)
Lineage: Eukaryota; Viridiplantae; Streptophyta; Magnoliopsida; Poales; Poaceae
Description: partial small subunit ribosomal RNA
Source: RNAcentral
AUGCGGGUGGACGGGUCCUUCCUCUUCGGCCGCUCCGUCCUCCUGGACGCCGCGUCGCGCCCCGUGCUCACCGUGCAGCGCCGGCCGUCCCUGUUCGAGGCCCGCCGGACGUGGAAGGCGUUCAAGGGGGACAGCACGAGCUCCGACGACCUGCUCUUCUCCGCCGUCGUGCGGCCUUCGCUGACCAACACGGGGGACAUCCACGUGCACCUCGACGGCGAGAGGCGCCGCGACUUCGUCGGCGUUCGCCCCUGGUACCGCGGGACUGACUGCGCCAUCACCCACGCCGGCGCCACCGUUGCCCAGAUCGAAAGCUCGGGGGGAUUCUUGAGUCCGGCGAAGUAUGACGUCCGUGUCAACGAAGGCGUCUACCAUGCUUUCGUCCUGGGCCUCACCGUGGUUCUGGAGGGUAUACGUCUCGACGACGCCGAACAAGAGAGGUCACGAGCUAGAAAUAAUAAAAGGACUGUGCUAUUUCACGCUCGCUUUCCACUGAUUUUUUUCCUUCUUUCAAAAACCGUAAUAAAUCGCUAA